UAUUAAUAUAUUAUUAUUAUUCGUAUUAUUAUUCGUGACUUGUAGUAAGUACAAUAAUAUUAUUAUAUAAAAUGUCCAGAAACUGUUUUGUUCCUGGAUGUCGAGAGGGCUACAAAUCCAAAAUUAAAAUUAAUAAAUGGCAAGGAAUAAUAAAAACAACAAUGUUUAAGGCGCCCAAGGAUCUACUGCUUCUGGAGAAAUGGGUCAAAGCUAUCCCACGAGCUGAUAGAGAAUUGCGUCCUGGGAUUGAUAGUGUAUGCGAAAAACAUUUUGAUGAAACCUAUCUUAAUAGAUAUUUUGAAACCAAGUCGCCUGAUGGUUCAAUUAAUCAAAUAAAAAGAGAUAGAAUAAUAUUAAAAAACAAUGCGAUUCCAUCAAUUUUCCCAGAUUUGCCACAGUAUUUAACUAAAAAGAGACCGAUUGAAAAAAUUAUUGCAGAAAAAAAGAUACUUUUUAAUAAUUAUAUUCCAAAUACAAUUGACGAUAUUUCAAAUACAACUGACCAUGUUUCUGAAACUUUUAAUAAUUUACAUGAUAUACUAAAAAAUAUGUCAUUACCUGAUGGAUGGUUUUUUACUUAUUUGAAUAGAUCAUUGGUAUUAGGUAAUUUAGAUUCAAAUUAUGAAUUAAUAAAAAAAAUUAUAGUAUCAAAUAAUGACUUAAAUUUAAAGGUAUUCAUUAGAAAUAAGUUAAUCAAUAUAACAUGUACGUCAGUUACAUGUAUUGAAGAUAUAACAAAAGUACUAAAAAUUGUUGAUGAUUUUGUAAUGUGUCCUGGAACUGGAAUUGAUAAUUGUCCAAAAUCUGAUCAAUGUUGUGAGCACAUAAAUUUAAUUUCAUUGAAUCAAGUUCGUAAUCCACGCUGUACUGAGUGUGCCAAAAAAAGGAAAUAUUUUAUGGAUACUCAAAGAGUUUCCCUAGAACAGAUUAAUGAAAAACCAACUACAAAACCUGUUUUAAAGAAUGUUUUACGAAUAAAUAAACGGCUUAAUAUUAAAGUAUGCAUAGUUAAUAAGUUGUGAAGUUGAAAAUAAUACAAUUUAAUUUGUUAUUCUCUAGUUAAACCUAACUUAGUCCAUCCUUGGAUGGAACUGUGGUAGUAUAUUAAGUCAUUGUAUAAAGAGCUAUAUAUAACAUAUUAUACAAUUUUUUAUACUGUGAUUAAAUGUUGUUUAUUAGUAGACUCAUAAUUCUCUAUGGCCAUUUCAUUGUUAAAUUAAUUAAAAUUACAAAAUAUACUAAUAUUUAAAACUAAAUUGAACCUCUGUUAGUCCUCUAUGGUAUUACUUAUCGAUUAAUGUGUUAUACUCUUAAGAUAUAUAUAUCUUAGAUCAUAAUAAAUUGUAUUGAAAUGGCCUAAUUAUAUUUCUAAUUAAUACACAACUUGUUGCUUGUGAAACUAAAAUCUGUGUAUACUAAAUUAUAUGUUAUGUAUUUGUGUAGUAUUAAAAAAAACAAUAUAAAUUAUUAAGUUGCUUGUGAGACUAAACUCUGUGUAAACUAAAUAUUAUAUGUUAUGUAUUUGUAUAGUAUUAAAACACAAUAUAAAUUACAUUAAGUUGCUUGUGAGACUAAAAUCUGUGUAUACUAAAUUAUAUGUUAUGCAUUUGUGUAGUAUUAAAAAAAAAACAUGAAGUUCCAUUUCUUAUGAGCAUGAAUUGCUAGUGAGACUGUAUUCUGUUACAAAUUUACAAGCUAAAGUAGGAUUGUUAAAACAACAAUGUGCAGAAGCAUCUGCAAAAUCUAUAGAAGAAGCAAUUAUAGAGAUGCCAGAAAAUCAACAGGAAGCUGUUCGCACUUGCUUUGCAG
RNAcentral lists this unclassified non-coding RNA (1809 nucleotides) under Acyrthosiphon pisum (pea aphid). RNAcentral's name for it is "uncharacterized LOC107885227, transcript variant X1". The record is from RNAcentral. Lineage: Eukaryota; Metazoa; Arthropoda; Insecta; Hemiptera; Aphididae.